This 1001-nucleotide long non-coding RNA is filed under the name Felis catus (domestic cat). Its description in RNAcentral is "lncRNA (ENSFCAG00000049569.1)". Lineage: Eukaryota; Metazoa; Chordata; Mammalia; Carnivora; Felidae. The record is from RNAcentral.
UUCUACAGGGUUGGGUUGGGGGAUGGGGGCGGUCACGCUCUUUCUACUGUCCCAGUUCGAUGGCACGGGAGCAUAAACACGGAGAAGGCGACGAGUGAAGAACGGUUACGGAUCACAGGCAAGGCACGUUGGCACACUGAACCCGAAACAACCAGAUUCAAAAGUCACCUAGGCCACCUACCCACUAGCUACGUGACCUCUGGCAUUCGACAUCUCAGAGCGAUAACGGUCCCCGAAGAGUGCAAGAAGGAUCAAAGAAGACAGCACGGGGAUGAAGGUGCUGGCAUGACUCCCGGGGGCUUUCUUCCUGAGCCCCCUCUGGAUCUGCACGGCUGCCCCACCUUGCUCAUCCUCCUCAUCUGGCCACCGCAGCCCCGGAACGACAAUUACUGCGCUGUUCUCUGCAGCCCCGCCGCUGCUUCCCCGAAUUGCCAAUUAGCAUGGUUCUAAGUCUUCAACAUGGCGGACAAAAUGAGCUUCCUCCUCUGCUCCUAGCCCUGUCGGUACUGCUGCCCGCCUGAGGCAAGUUCCUUCUCAUUUCUGGACCACACAGCUGCUUCCUUGGAUGGAAUCACAGACUUCUCCCUUCCCCAGGUCUACUGUACUUGAGGUGUCUCAGGUAAGUCAUUUCCUCAAGGGAAUCUUCCUAACUCCCUUAGGCUAGGUUAGCCUUCCAUAGGCCUAGUGGUUGAAAGUCUGGCUCCCUUACUGGAAUAGAAACCUCCUGAGAGUAGGGGUGCUUCUGCUUGACUCGUCACUGGAUACCUGGGGCAGAGCUACAACCGGAGAGACUAAGGCAGAGGGUAAAGAGGGUGGCGGCACCCUUGGGUCAUAGCCUAGGGCUCUCUCUGCUCAGGACCCAGAGACUCCGCACUUGGGGGUCUCAUGUCCAGUUGAGCCACCGACGUUCCAGGAAGUUCAUGUGAGCGCAGGCCAACAGGUCACAGGGACACAUAGGACCUCUCGGCCAGGUGGCCUCCCCCUGCAAAUGGGAGGGAUGU